UCUCGUUCAUAGGUCAGUAGCUGCUGGCGCAGAGCUUCUGGCAGGUGGGCCUUCGCAAACUCAGCAGCAGCCUGACAAUGGAGAGAAAAGGGAGACAGAAGAGAAAUUAGAUGGCUGCAGACACAGAGAAGGUCCAGAGCCCGUAUUCCCAGUCAGCGCAAGGUCACGGACAACAAAUGUCACCCGAUAUACUGCUGACAAGCCACUGAUCUGCAUCAUCAGAGAUUCAUUGAGCUCAGAUUUCAUCCCAGGUUGGAGAACGACUGAGAUCUGCAGAAAAUAAGAAAACAAGGAGAGCUUCCACAAACGGGAGGAAACCUGCAGUUGUACGUGAUGACUUCAGGUCCAGACAGAAACCUGCAGUGUGCUCCCAUGGUGAUGAGCCAGAGAUCACCCUGGACCUUUCCCCCCGUCCCAUUUCUGACUCGCGUUUCUUUUGUCUGAAGAUAAUCAGAGGAGACAUACUUUCAUCCAGUAGUCACCAUGUGGGAAGCCCGAGUCGACAAACUGGGCUCAAAGAUCAUUAACGGAGAAGAAAGUCUUUGGUCUUAUUGGACUUUUUCUUGUUCCAACUACCAAGGACUGACUGUACAUC
Nothobranchius furzeri (turquoise killifish) is the source of this 595-nucleotide non-coding RNA. Lineage: Eukaryota; Metazoa; Chordata; Actinopteri; Cyprinodontiformes; Nothobranchiidae. The record is from RefSeq and is a predicted model, not a curated record.